GAUGAACGCUAGCGGGAGGCCUAACACAUGCAAGCCGAGCGGUAUUGUUUCUUCGGAAAUGAGAGAGCGGCGUACGGGUGCGGAACACGUGUGCAACCUGCCUUUAUCUGGGGGAUAGCCUUUCGAAAGGAAGAUUAAUACUCCAUAAUAUAUUGAUUGGCAUCAAUUAAUAUUGAAAGCUCCGGCGGAUAGAGAUGGGCACGCGCAAGAUUAGCUAGUUGGUGAGGUAACGGCUCACCAAGGCGAUGAUCUUUAGGGGGCCUGAGAGGGUGAUCCCCCACACUGGUACUGAGACACGGACCAGACUCCUACGGGAGGCAGCAGUGAGGAAUAUUGGUCAAUGGGUGCAAGCCUGAACCAGCCAUCCCGCGUGAAGGACGACUGCCCUAUGGGUUGUAAACUUCUUUGUAUAGGGAUAAACCUACCUCGUGAGGGUAGCUGAAGGUACUAUACGAAUAAGCACCGGCUAAACUCCGUGCCAGCAGCCGC
This 489-nucleotide ribosomal RNA is filed under the name uncultured bacterium. Its description in RNAcentral is "bacterial SSU rRNA". It matches the Rfam family "Bacterial small subunit ribosomal RNA", at positions 28 to 518 of the family's 1533-position model. The record is from RNAcentral.